RNAcentral lists this transfer RNA (66 nucleotides) under Platydracus impotens. RNAcentral describes it as "tRNA-Phe". Lineage: Eukaryota; Metazoa; Arthropoda; Insecta; Coleoptera; Staphylinidae. The record is from RNAcentral.
AUUUAAAUAGCUUAUAUAGAGCAUAAUAUUGAAGAUAUUAAGGAAAUAAUUUUUUAUUUUUAAAUA